This 300-nucleotide unclassified non-coding RNA is filed under the name uncultured Herpotrichiellaceae. Its description in RNAcentral is "sequence contains 5.8S rRNA gene, ITS2". The stretch from base 1 to 71 matches the Rfam family "5.8S ribosomal RNA", at positions 84 to 154 of the family's 154-position model. The record is from RNAcentral. Lineage: Eukaryota; Fungi; Ascomycota; Eurotiomycetes; Chaetothyriales; Herpotrichiellaceae.
GUGAAUCAUCGAAUCUUUGAACGCACAUUGCGCCCUUUGGUAUUCCGAAGGGCAUGCCUGUUCGAGCGUCAUUAUCACCCCUCAAGCCCCGUGCUUGGUGUUGGAGCGCCGGUCGGCUCACCCCGACUCCUCUCAAUGAUAACGACGGCGGCCUGUGGUUCCCCCGGUACACUGAGCUUUCGGGCACGUAUUGGACAAGGGCACCCGGGUCACGGUCUUCUCUUCCUCGGAAGAAACUUCUAAGGUUGACCUCGGAUCAGGUAGGAAUACGCGCUGAACUUAAGCAUAUCAAUAAGCGGA